AUUUCUUGAAUUUUGGACUGCCAAAUUGAAUCCAUCAUUAUGAAUUUGAAAAACUAUCAUCAUAUUCAUCAUUUUAUUGUCUUAAAACUUCUAGAUACCGGUACUGAUUUUUGUCAAAAUAGGAUUAAGAUUAAUAUAUAUAUAUAUCAAAUUUGAGGCUUCUAUUUUUAUUGACCAUUUUUUGAGUAUAUUUUUCAACCAAUAUGUAAAAGGAUAUUUUUUUUCCACAUAAAGCACUCAAAUGAUUAAGAAAUAACAAUAUUUAAAACUAAUUUUCCAUAAACUAAACAAAAAUAAUUUAAUUUCUCUCUUCUACCUCUUCGGAGUGAAAUUUUCGAUUGCCCGAUUUUUGCACACCAGUGAAGUAGGUCCUUCAUAAUAUUCCUUAAAUUUUAAUUAUGUAGAUCCUAGGGAUAUACCCAAAUUCAACCAGAUAGUUGCAUACAUGAUGUUUUAUAUAGGCCUAUAUAAGAUUUCUUGAAUAAAUAUUUUAUUAUAAUUAAAAAAAAUAUAUAAAGUUUUACUGAUGGCAAAUUUUUAUAAAUAAAAAUAAAUAAUAUUCAUGUGAUUAAUUUCAAAGAUAAAAAUUUUUAAAAAGUUUGAAGUGACUCUAUCUUAUAACGAAAUCGCGUAGGAAUCUCUAAGUCAUCUGCAUAAUUAAUGAAGAUCAAUCUCAUAAAAUUAAAAUAUUCUGUUAUGUCUUGUUCUUUAGCUAUUUUUAAGAGAGAAAAACAAAUGAGCGAUCUCAUUCUAUUGAAAAAGUUACUAAACAUACAGUUCUAUACAGAAUCAACAAGAACGUUAAUGCAGAAAAAGUCUUGUUGUUCCUUUUUUUUUUUUUUUUUUUUUUCAAUCACACAAAUCUCUGAAACCCGACAAGCCCCGGCCCUAUAUGUGUCGGAUUAGAG
Molecule: long non-coding RNA, 908 nt
Filed under: Androctonus crassicauda
Lineage: Eukaryota; Metazoa; Arthropoda; Arachnida; Scorpiones; Buthidae
Source: RNAcentral